GGAUAACCUGCCCUAUUGUCUGGAAUAACCUCGGGAAACUGAGAACAAGGCCGGAUAACCCACAAUGCCUGGAACGGUUUGUGGGUGAAGAUAGGAUGGGUCUGCGGCGUAUCAGGUCGUAGGGGGUGUAAUGGACCUCCUAGCCAUCGACGCGUACGGGUGUUGGGAGACAUAGCCCGGAGAUGGAUUCUGAGACACGAAUCCAGACCCUACGGGGUGCAGCAGGCGCAAAAACUUCACACUGCAGGAAACUGUGAUGAGGGAACUCCAAGUGCAUCCACUAUGUGGAUGCUUUUUUUGACUAUUAAUCGGUCAACGAAUAAGGGCUGGGAAAGACCGGUGCCAGCCGCCGCGGUAAUACCGGCAGCUCAAGUGGUCGUCGCUUUUAUUGGGCCUAAAACGUCCGUAGCCUGUUUGGUAAAUCUGUGGGUAAAUCAACCAGCUUAACUGGUUGAAUUCUGCAGAGACUGCCAGACUAGGGACCGGGAGAGGUGUGGGGUACUCUAGGGGUAGGGGUAAAAUCCUGUCAUCCUUAGAGGACCACCAGUUGCGAAGGCGCCACACUGGAACGGAUCCGACGGUCAGGGACGAAGCCUAGGGGCACGAACCGGAUUAGAUACCCGGGUAGUCCUAGGUGUAAACGCUGUGAACUUGGUGUCGGGGAUCCGCAAUGGGUCCUCGGUGCCGGAGUGAAGAUGUUAAGUUCACUGCCUGGGGAGUACGGUCGCAAGGCUGAAACUU
Molecule: ribosomal RNA, 741 nt
Filed under: uncultured Candidatus Poseidoniales archaeon
Lineage: Archaea; Methanobacteriati; Thermoplasmatota; Candidatus Poseidoniia; Candidatus Poseidoniales
Description: bacterial SSU rRNA
Rfam family: Archaeal small subunit ribosomal RNA
Source: RNAcentral